This 492-nucleotide ribosomal RNA is filed under the name uncultured bacterium. Its description in RNAcentral is "partial 16S ribosomal RNA". It matches the Rfam family "Bacterial small subunit ribosomal RNA", at positions 29 to 507 of the family's 1533-position model. The record is from RNAcentral.
AGUGAACGCUGGCGGUAGGCCUAACACAUGCAAGUCGAACGGCAGCACAGUAAGAGCUUGCUCUUACGGGUGGCGAGUGGCGGACGGGUGAGGAAUACAUCGGACUCUACUUUUUCGUGGGGGAUAACGUAGGGAAGCUUACUCUAAUACCGCAUACGCCCUACGGUUGAAAGCAUGGGAUCUUCGGACCUUGCGCGAUUGAAUUAGCCGAUGUCGGAUUAGCUAGUUGGCGGGGUAAAGACCCACCCAGGCGACGAUCCGUAGCUGGUCUGAGAGGAUGAUAAGCCACACGGGAACUGAGACAGGGUCAAGAGGCCUACGGGAGGCAGCAGAGGGGAAUAUUGGACAAUAGGCGCAAGCAUGAUCCAGCCAUACCGAGUGGGUGAAGAAGGCCUUCGGGUUGGAAAGCCCUUUUGUUGGGAAAGAAAAGCAGCAGGUUAAGACCCAGCGGGUCUGACGGUAACCAAAGAAUAAGCACCGGCUAACUUCGUG